AGAGUUUGAUCAUGGCUCAGAUUGAACGCUGGCGGCAUGCUUUACACAUGCAAGUCGAACGGUAACAGGCCGCAAGGUGCUGACGAGUGGCGAACGGGUGAGUAAUGCAUCGGAACGUGCCCAGUCGUGGGGGAUAACGCAGCGAAAGCUGCGCUAAUACCGCAUACGAUCUAUGGAUGAAAGCGGGGGACCGUAAGGCCUCGCGCGAUUGGAGCGGCCGAUGUCAGAUUAGGUAGUUGGUGGGGUAAAGGCUCACCAAGCCAACGAUCUGUAGCUGGUCUGAGAGGACGACCAGCCACACUGGAACUGAGACACGGUCCAGACUCCUACGGGAGGCAGCAGUGGGGAAUUUUGGACAAUGGGCGCAAGCCUGAUCCAGCAAUGCCGCGUGCAGGAAGAAGGCCUUCGGGUUGUAAACUGCUUUUGUACGGAACGAAACGGUCUGAGUUAAUACCUCGGGCUAAUGACGGUACCGUAAGAAUAAGCACCGGCUAACUACGUGCCAGCAGCCGCGGUAAUACGUAGGGUGCAAGCGUUAAUCGGAAUUACUGGGCGUAAAGCGUGCGCAGGCGGUGAUGUAAGACAGUCGUGAAAUCCCCGGGCUCAACCUGGGAAUUGCGAUUGUGACUGCAUCGCUGGAGUGCGGCAGAGGGGGAUGGAAUUCCGCGUGUAGCAGUGAAAUGCGUAGAUAUGCGGAGGAACACCGAUGGCGAAGGCAAUCCCCUGGGCCUGCACUGACGCUCAUGCACGAAAGCGUGGGGAGCAAACAGGAUUAGAUACCCUGGUAGUCCACGCCCUAAACGAUGUCAACUGGUCGUUGGGUCUCUUCUGACUCAGUAACGAAGCUAACGCGUGAAGUUGACCGCCUGGGG
RNAcentral lists this ribosomal RNA (872 nucleotides) under uncultured Rhodoferax sp. RNAcentral's name for it is "bacterial SSU rRNA". It matches the Rfam family "Bacterial small subunit ribosomal RNA", at positions 8 to 878 of the family's 1533-position model. The record is from RNAcentral. Lineage: Bacteria; Pseudomonadati; Pseudomonadota; Betaproteobacteria; Burkholderiales; Comamonadaceae.